This 390-nucleotide ribosomal RNA is filed under the name uncultured bacterium. Its description in RNAcentral is "bacterial SSU rRNA". It matches the Rfam family "Bacterial small subunit ribosomal RNA", at positions 30 to 418 of the family's 1533-position model. The record is from RNAcentral.
AUUGAACGCUGGCGGCAUGCCUUACACAUGCAAGUCGAACGGCAGCACGGGAGCAAUCCUGGUGGCGAGUGGCGAACGGGUGAGUAAUAUAUCGGAACGUGCCCAGUCGUGGGGGAUAACGUAGCGAAAGCUACGCUAAUACCGCAUACGAUCUAUGGAUGAAAGCGGGGGAUCGCAAGACCUCGCGCGAUUGGAGCGGCCGAUAUCAGAUUAGGUAGUUGGUGAGGUAAAGGCUCACCAAGCCGACGAUCUGUAGCUGGUCUGAGAGGACGACCAGCCACACUGGGACUGAGACACGGCCCAGACUCCUACGGGAGGCAGCAGUGGGGAAUUUUUGGACAAUGGGCGCGAAGCCUGAUCCAGCAAUGCCGCGUGCAGGAUGAAGGCCUC